RNAcentral lists this ribosomal RNA (228 nucleotides) under Triticum aestivum (bread wheat). Its description in RNAcentral is "partial small subunit ribosomal RNA". The record is from RNAcentral. Lineage: Eukaryota; Viridiplantae; Streptophyta; Magnoliopsida; Poales; Poaceae.
GAAGAGUAGAAGAAGAAGGAAAGGAAAGCAGCUGGAGCUUCUUUCACGUGGAUUCAAGAAAACUUUGUGCAUUGCCCGCCGGAUGCCACUUAUGAUGUGAUACAGACACAUGCUCGUGUCUAUAUGUGGUACGUUGUCUCGAGAACUUUGUUUCCUGACUCGACAUGCAAGAAUGCUCCAUGGAUGUGGCUGAAGGUGUUGACCGUCUUCAAUAGCGGAUGGAGCUAG